UGGGGAAUAUUGCACAAUGGGCGCAAGCCUGAUGCAGCCAUGCCGCGUGUAUGAAGAAGGCCUUCGGGUUGUAAAGUACUUUCAGCGGGGAGGAAGGGAGUAAAGUUAAUACCUUUGCUCAUUGACGUUACCCGCAGAAGAAGCACCGGCUAACUCCGUGCCAACAGCCGCGGUAAUACGGAGGGUGCAAGCGUUAAUCGGAAUUACUGGGCGUAAAGCGCACGCAGGCGGUUUGUUAAGUCAGAUGUGAAAUCCCCGGGCUCAACCUGGGAACUGCAUCUGAUACUGGCAAGCUUGAGUCUCGUAGAGGGGGGUAGAAUUCCAGGUGUAGCGGUGAAAUGCGUAGAGAUCUGGAGGAAUACCGGUGGCGAAGGCGGCCCCCUGGACGAAGACUGACGCUCAGGUGCGAAAGCGUGGGGAGCAAACA
RNAcentral lists this ribosomal RNA (427 nucleotides) under uncultured bacterium. Its description in RNAcentral is "partial 16S ribosomal RNA". It matches the Rfam family "Bacterial small subunit ribosomal RNA", at positions 355 to 774 of the family's 1533-position model. The record is from RNAcentral.